GACGAACCGUGCAAACGUUGUUCGGAAUCACUGGGCUUAAAGGGCGCGUAGGCGGGCAGGCAAGUCGAAGGUGAAAUCCCACGGCUCAACCGUGGAAGUGCCCCCGAUACUGCCUGUCUCAAGGGAGAUAGGGGCGUGCGGAACUUCCGGUGGAGCGGUGAAAUGCGUAGAUAUCGGAAGGAACACCGGUGGCGAAAGCGGCGCGCUGGAUCUCUUCUGACGCUGAUGCGCGAAAGCGUGGGGAGCGAUCCGG
RNAcentral lists this ribosomal RNA (253 nucleotides) under uncultured bacterium. RNAcentral describes it as "partial 16S ribosomal RNA". It matches the Rfam family "Bacterial small subunit ribosomal RNA", at positions 524 to 776 of the family's 1533-position model. The record is from RNAcentral.